This 440-nucleotide ribosomal RNA is filed under the name uncultured bacterium. Its description in RNAcentral is "partial 16S ribosomal RNA". It matches the Rfam family "Bacterial small subunit ribosomal RNA", at positions 338 to 795 of the family's 1533-position model. The record is from RNAcentral.
CCUACGGGUGGCAUCAGUGGGGAAUAUUGCACAAUGGGGGAAACCCUGAUGCAGCGACGCCGCGUGAGUGAAGCAGUAUUUCGGUAUGUAACGCUCUAUCAGCAGGGAAGAACUUGACGCUACCUGACUAUGAAGCCCCGCCUAACUACGUGCCAGCGGCCGCGGUAAGACGUAGGGGGCAAUCGUUAUCCGGAUUUACUGGUUGUCAAGGGAGCGUAGACGGCAGCGCAAGUCUGAAGUGAAAGCCCGCGGCGCAACCGCGGGACUGCUUUGGACACUGCCCGGCUAGAGUGCUGGAGAGGUAAGCGGAAUUCCUAGUGUAGCGGUGAAAUGCGUAGAUAUUAGGAGGAACACCAGUGGCGAAGGCGGCUUACUGGACAGUAACUGACGUUGAGGCUCGAAAGCGUGGGGAGCAAACAGGAUUAGAUACCCGUGUAGUC